Non-coding RNA from Pimephales promelas (fathead minnow), 35 nucleotides. The record is from Rfam. Lineage: Eukaryota; Metazoa; Chordata; Actinopteri; Cypriniformes; Leuciscidae.
GAGGGUCUUGCUUCAACAGUGAUUGAACGGAACUC